CGAACGGCCCUCUUUAGGGCCAUAUUUAUGUGAAUACACAUGGUGU
Heterorhabditis bacteriophora is the source of this 46-nucleotide non-coding RNA. Lineage: Eukaryota; Metazoa; Nematoda; Chromadorea; Rhabditida; Heterorhabditidae. The record is from Rfam.